This 77-nucleotide transfer RNA is filed under the name Luminiphilus sp. Its description in RNAcentral is "tRNA-Ile". It matches the Rfam family "tRNA". Rfam says of the family: Transfer RNA (tRNA) molecules are approximately 80 nucleotides in length. Their secondary structure includes four short double-helical elements and three loops (D, anti-codon, and T loops). Lineage: Bacteria; Pseudomonadati; Pseudomonadota; Gammaproteobacteria; Cellvibrionales; Halieaceae. The record is from RNAcentral.
GGGCCCAUAGCUCAGUUGGUUAGAGCAGUCGACUCAUAAUCGAUUGGUCCCAGGUUCAAGUCCUACUGCGCCCACCA